RNAcentral lists this ribosomal RNA (514 nucleotides) under uncultured bacterium. Its description in RNAcentral is "bacterial SSU rRNA". It matches the Rfam family "Bacterial small subunit ribosomal RNA", at positions 28 to 526 of the family's 1533-position model. The record is from RNAcentral.
GACGAACGCUGGCGGCGUGCCUAAUACAUGCAAGUCGAGCGGACCAAAGGGAGCUUGCUCCUGGAGGUUAGCGGCGAACGGGUGAGUAACACGUGGGCAACCUGCCUGUAAGACUGGGAUAACAUCGAGAAAUCGGUGCUAAUACCGGAUAAUAAAAAGAACUGCAUGGUUCUUUUUGAAAGAUGGUUUCGGCUAUCACUUACAGAUGGGCCCGCGGCGCAUUAGCUAGUUGGUGAGGUAACGGCUCACCAAGGCGACGAUGCGUAGCCGACCUGAGAGGGUGAUCGGCCACACUGGGACUGAGACACGGCCCAGACUCCUACGGGAGGCAGCAGUAGGGAAUCUUCCGCAAUGGACGAAAGUCUGACGGAGCAACGCCGCGUGAGUGAUGAAGGUUUUCGGAUCGUAAAACUCUGUUGUUAGGGAAGAACAAGUGCCGUUCGAAAGGGCGGCACCUUGACGGUACCUAACGAGAAAGCCACGGCUAACUACGUGCCAGCAGCCGCGGUAAAGU